UUUGCUGGAGAUCCCUGUGUACCUGAGGCCUUCUAAAGGACGUUCUCAAUAUAAAAGAAAAAGAAUAUCCUUUUUGGACUACCACCAAAGAGUAGGAGGAAGAACUUGAGAAAUACAGAGUGCUAUUUCUUUGGAGAUGCUCAGCUACAGUACGGUGCUGUCUUCCAAAAUGGGAUCUGAACACAAGAUAUGAACGCACAAAGGAAGAUAUAGGGAUCUGGCAGUGUGCCCCACUUCUUGGAAAAAGCAUCUUCAAAGCUACAUAGGUGAAACUGCACUGAAAAAAUAUCAAGUGGAAAAUUAACCUCAUAUAAACAACCAUGCUAGGAAUAAAAAUAAAAAUAUUAAAUGCUCUGCGUGUACAGAAAGGCAGCUUGGAUACUGGCCUGCACCAUUCAGUGUUCUCAGCAAAGACUAAUGUUGCAUUACAAUGAAUGUCACUUUAAUGAGGCAGAAAAAAUUGGUCCGAAGACAGCCUGCUGAAUUCAAUCACCUGCUUCACUUGACAUGAGAAACUAGUCACAGGACAUGCCAUACACAGCCCCAGCAGUGACAGUGCUCCCUGUAACAAUAUGAAGUUGCAAAAGAUUUCAACCUGUGAACUACUUCUACAGAUGAACAGAUCAUGUUUUAACAUGAACAAGCUCUAUUUGCUUUAUUGGGAAAAACAUGAAAUUGUGUUUAUCACCAUCAUCCUUGCCUUUUGGAAGGAGAAGAAGCCAGGCAAAUUUCUUGGGGAAAAUCUUGUGCGAGGCUUACCCUCCAGGACUACAUUAAAAAGCAAACAAAACCCAGUACGCUGCAAUUUGAGGACAGGACUCAAAGAAUUCAUAAAAGAAAUGAAAAUUGUCUUGAUUCAAUUUAUUUCUGAAUUCAGUGUAUCCUUUUAAGACCAGUAUUGGUCAUAGAUAUAUUCUGGUUAUAGCCAAGGUUUUACCCUAAUAAUUAUCAAUCAUAUAUAGCAGCUUAAAUCUGUACCUUUUUCCAGUAAAGCUGUAACCAUGUAUACAGCAAAAGAAGAAAUUGCAAUAGGAGCAACAGAAAUCUGUCACUGUAGCAGUGUAGGUGGCUCUUAAUUCUAACAAAAAUGCCAUGUGUUAUGACGUACAGGUGUAAACUAUGCCACUGUACAGAUGAAUAAAGUCAAUAUAUUACUGAU
Molecule: long non-coding RNA, 1159 nt
Organism: Gallus gallus (chicken)
Lineage: Eukaryota; Metazoa; Chordata; Aves; Galliformes; Phasianidae
Source: Ensembl